This 1214-nucleotide long non-coding RNA is filed under the name Bos indicus x Bos taurus (hybrid cattle). RNAcentral describes it as "lncRNA (ENSBIXG00000027235.1)". The record is from RNAcentral. Lineage: Eukaryota; Metazoa; Chordata; Mammalia; Artiodactyla; Bovidae.
CAUGGACUGUAUUAAAGCCUACCAGGCUCCUUCAUCCAUGGAAUUUUCCAGGCAAGAACAGUGGAGUAAGUUGCCAUUUCCUCCUCCAUGGGGAUCCUCCCGACCCAGGAAUCUAAGCCACGUCUCCUGCAUUGGCGAGUGGAUUCUUUAUCACUGGAACUACCCAGGAAGCCCUGAAGAACCAUGGAAGAAGACCUCAGAUACCCCACCUUAAAACAGGUGUGAGGCUUCUCUGGUGGCACAGUGGAUAAGAAUCUGCCUGCCAAUACAGGAGACAUGGGUUCAGUGCCUGGUCGGGGAAGAUCCCACAUGCCGUGGAACAACUGAGCCCAUGCACCACAACUACUGAGCCUGUGCUAUGGAGCCCAGGGGCUGCAGCAGCUGAGCCCGUGUGCUGCAACUACUGAAGCCUGCACCCUACAGCCAGUUCUCUGCAACAAGGGAAGCCACCACAAUGAGAAGUCCACCCACGGCAACUAGAGAGUAACCCCCACUCGCCGCACCUGAGUAAAGCCUGAGGAUCAACGAAGACCCAGCACAGCCAAAAAUAAGUAAAAUUAUUUCUUUCAAACGGGUGUGGAAAUACUUUUGUGCAAGUUUUAUACACAGGGAAGGUGAUACAGUCAUUGCCAUAUGACUUUGCCCACAUCAGCAAGGACUUGCCAGAAGCUGACUGCUUUUAUGGUCCUGAUGAUUUGUCUAGGUGUGUGGUAUUAUGGGCACUGGGACUGAAAAUAUGAGCCAGGGCAUCUUUUGGGGUAGGGAGGAGAGCAGAAGGCAAGAAGGAGACUUUGGAGAAACCCAGAAUUCAGAGGAAUAUCAUUUGGUUUGCAAAUGCUUUGUUUGAGAUCCCAGAGCUCUUCCUGCUAGUCUCUACGUUAAAUCUCACUAUUGUGGGGUGGGGAUCUGAAGUCCGCCCAGCAGCCUGAAUUCAGGAUGAGGGAAAUAAGCAGAUCUAGCUGAUUCAGACUGGUUGGGAUGGCCAGAAUGAAGCUUGUUCUGGCGUUUACUUCCCCUGCUGCAUCUCUCAAGCUUGCAAACCAGAGAUGUUGGCUCCUUUAAUCAGGAAACAGGACCACAGAUGGGGACAGUGUGGGGAGCAGAUUCUGCACUGGAACUGAGUUCCAAGGGCUUUAUCACCUCAGUCCUCACUCUGGAAGUUAGGGAUUACUGCCCGUAUUCCACAGUGGAAGAGACAGUCUCAGAAUGGGAAU